RNAcentral lists this long non-coding RNA (317 nucleotides) under Ananas comosus (pineapple). Its description in RNAcentral is "long non-coding RNA (ACOM_LNC006583)". The record is from RNAcentral. Lineage: Eukaryota; Viridiplantae; Streptophyta; Magnoliopsida; Poales; Bromeliaceae.
CGGAUUUUCAAAAAUCUGAACCCGAACCCGACUCCAAACCAAUUAUUUCUCUUUUCAAUAUUUCAAAUAUAUAUUAUAUAUUAAAUCUAAAUUUUUAAAAUAUAAAUUCAAAUAUAAUAUUAAAUUUUCAUAUAUAUAUUAUAUAUAAUAUAAAAUAAAUUCGGAUUUGAGAUCGGAUCGGGUAUAGUCAAAUUUCAUAUCAUUAUUAAUAUUCAUCGGAUUUUAAUUUUUGAUAUCUAUAUUCGAAAUUAUAUUCAUUUAGUACCGAAUAAAUUUGCUCCGUGCGAAUUCGAAUUCGGAUAAAAUUUUAAAUAUUU